Molecule: ribosomal RNA, 791 nt
Filed under: Escherichia coli
Lineage: Bacteria; Pseudomonadati; Pseudomonadota; Gammaproteobacteria; Enterobacterales; Enterobacteriaceae
Description: partial 23S ribosomal RNA
Rfam family: Bacterial large subunit ribosomal RNA
Source: RNAcentral
CUUGAUGUGUAGGAUAGGUGGGAGGCUUUGAAGUGUGGACGCCAGUCUGCAUGGAGCCGACCUUGAAAUACCACCCUUUAAUGUUUGAUGUUCUAACGUAGGCCCCUUAUCGGGGUUGCGGACAGUGUCUGGUGGGUAGUUUGACUGGGGCGGUCUCCUCCUAAAGAGUAACGGAGGAGCACGAAGGUUGGCUAAUCCUGGUCGGACAUCAGGAGGUUAGUGCAAUGGCAUAAGCCAGCUUGACUGCGAGCGUGACGGCGCGAGCAGGUGCGAAAGCAGGUCAUAGUGAUCCGGUGGUUCUGAAUGGAAGGGCCAUCGCUCAACGGAUAAAAGGUACUCCGGGGAUAACAGGCUGAUACCGCCCAAGAGUUCAUAUCGACGGCGGUGUUUGGCACCUCGAUGUCGGCUCAUCACAUCCUGGGGCUGAAGUAGGUCCCAAGGGUAUGGCUGUUCGCCAUUUAAAGUGGUACGCGAGCUGGGUUUAGAACGUCGUGAGACAGUUCGGUCCCUAUCUGCCGUGGGCGCUGGAGAACUGAGGGGGGCUGCUCCUAGUACGAGAGGACCGGAGUGGACGCAUCACUGGUGUUCGGGUUGUCAUGCCAAUGGCACUGCCCGGUAGCUAAAUGCGGAAGAGAUAAGUGCUGAAAGCAUCUAAGCACGAAACUUGCCCCGAGAUGAGUUCUCCCUGACCCUUUAAGGGUCCUGAAGGAACGUUGAAGACGACGACGUUGAUAGGCCGGGUGUGUAAGCGCAGCGAUGCGUUGAGCUAACCGGUACUAAUGAACCGUGAG